Molecule: ribosomal RNA, 468 nt
Filed under: uncultured bacterium
Lineage: Bacteria
Description: partial 16S ribosomal RNA
Rfam family: Bacterial small subunit ribosomal RNA
Source: RNAcentral
GACGAACGCUGGCGGCGCGCCUAACACAUGCAAGUCGAACGGAGCUGAGAGAAGCUUGCUUUUCUUAGCUUAGUGGCGAACGGGUGAGUAACGCGUGAGUAACCUGCCCUGGAGUGGGGGACAACAGUUGGAAACGACUGCUAAUACCGCAUAAGCCCACGAUCCGGCAUCGGAUUGAGGGAAAAGGAUUUAUUCGCUUCAGGAUGGACUCGCGUCCAAUUAGCUAGUUGGUGAGGUAACGGCCCACCAAGGCGACGAUUGGUAGCCGGACUGAGAGGUUGAACGGCCACAUUGGGACUGAGACACGGCCCAGACUCCUACGGGAGGCAGCAGUGGGGGAUAUUGCACAAUGGGGGAAUCCCUGAUGCAGCGACGCCGCGUGGAGGAAGAAGGUUUUCGGAUUGUAAACUCCUGUCGUUAGGGACGAUAAUGACGGUACCUAACAAGAAAGCACCGGCUAACUACGUG